AAAUUGCGAUAGCGAUUGGAGCGGCAUCCUUUUUACUUUAAACGAUGAUAAUAUUUAAAGUAAAAAGAUAUAGCGUAAAGCGCGCUCGAUC
Molecule: small RNA, 91 nt
Filed under: Chishuiella changwenlii
Lineage: Bacteria; Pseudomonadati; Bacteroidota; Flavobacteriia; Flavobacteriales; Weeksellaceae
Description: Flavo-1 RNA
Rfam family: Flavo-1 RNA
Source: RNAcentral